CGAAACCGGCGCCCGGGCUCCCCUCCCCAGGCCCGCGGCCAGCCCAGCUCCUGCACCCAGCCUGCAUCUGCCUGCAGGGAGGGGGCUGCAGCCUGGUGCUUUGAACCGGGUCUGGAAACGUUUAGGAAACGGUCGAGACCAGCACUGAGUUUGGCGCGGCGUUGUCCAGUGACUCACGGGUCUGUUCCGGGGCUGACCUCCCGCGGCUCAGGCGCAUCCUCUGGGUCUUGCUCUAAAGGAGCCGAUAGUCAUUGUCCUGCUGCAGAGAGAGAAGAAGAGCCCGAGUAAACACGGCAAGAAACAAAGUCCAGGGCCACGGCACAAAAACGAACAAAAAAGCGCCCCGGUUUAUGAUGAUGAUGAUGAUGAAGAAUUACUAACCUGCUCUGUUUCAUUAGAGUCGCACCAUGAGUGUAGUUGACUCGGAUCCGUAGCAAGAGAAUACUGAAUGUUUCUAUACGCUCAUCUUCAAAACUUCAGACCUACUUCUUGGCAUUUAAUGAUGAAGUUUUGCAAACCAAAAAACCUGUCUAGAGCAGACUGGAGCUGGGACAAACUCCCAAGUCUGCAGUGCUUAUUAUUAUUAUUAUUAUUGUAAUGUCUAGAAACUCCCCACCAUGAGUGUGGUUCCUGUGUUAUAGAAACUGUAAGCACACGCUCAGGCAGAAGGAGACGGCCCCAUCUCAGAGACGCCUAUGUAUUCAGCCAACAAGGCUGGGGCUGAGUGGCACAGAGAGGUGAAGGGGCUCCACCAAGGCUAGGAAAACUGGUCAGUAGCAGAGCGAGGGAUUAUAACCCCGCUCAGUGCAGUAUCCGCUGACCCGUGUUGCCUCCCUUCUCCAACUCCGUCAGGGUCCGAUGAGAUUUGUAUCUGAGCCCUGGGUUGGAUUUUACAAACAAACCCUCGUGCAAUAUCAGCAGAGAAGCAGAAGCAAACGGCCCCUGCUCAAGGAGCUGAGAGUUUAGAAGCCGGCCAGAGAUUAUGGAGUCUAAAGGAAGUAUUGGUGUUUCAAAAUAAUACCACCAGUUUAUUCUUUUAGCUGGUUUUACACUUAAAGCUCUAGAUACUAGGAUAGGAAUCUACGUGAUGUCCAUGCACAGCUACGGAGCCCAGUCUUUGGGGGCUCGAGGGGCACAUAGGCUUCCUGCAGCUCCUCCACACACAGAUUAAUUUAACAUCAUGCAGCGGCCGUAUAGCUUUGCUGCUUUUUACCAACCGGGUUUUCAAAAGCACCGAUUUAGGAGCGCAGGCCCCAUUGCCCGAGUGCUAAAGAACCAACGUGAGCAUGGAAAGCAGCUCCAGCAGUCGGGAGGCCUUUACACCCUGCCUCAUUAUCUUUUCUUUCUGCUUAUCUCUUUUCUCAGCUGCCCUCUGGGUGCCUGGGUCGCCUGUCGACAUCAGCCCAGGCUUCAAGCAUGAGAGGAGCGUGCAGCGGUGGCGUCAACGCUCAUUGCACACAAAGGAGACCCGGGCCCGAAAUAUCUCCUCUCUGAACUUUGCCUCCUCUUGGGUCGGCCCGCCGGCUCUCAAGAUGCGUUUCCUCUGGAUGCCCAAACUCAGUCUCACCUUACGCCAGGACGUCUUCCGUAAAUCCGUCCUCACUUCUCGACUCAGACUCUGAGCACCGAUGGGAAGGAAAGGGGAGCGGGGAGCGCCCGCAGCCUGGCAGAAACAGAGCUGCUGCUUGCGAGAGCUGCAGGGCGUCAGAUACUCCUGCAGCCGUUCUGAGGCUGACCCGAAAUGCUGGCGGCCAGAUCUGGACCUGAAGGACGGCAGCCACGCUGAAACAGCAGGAUGUGGGAGAGAAUUCAGUUGAGACGGUGGGUCCUAUCUGUACGCCCCCCACCAAGGUACUUCUGCCAGCUUCUCACUGGGCGUUGCACCGGGGCUGUUUAUGACAAGAGGCGCUGAAAACCAGCGUCUGUUCCCGUCACGUGAGAUUCGGCAGCACUCAGGAGCCAGCUGGGAGAAACCAGAACGGAUCCCCUUCUGUUCUUACCUACCACACGCGCCUGAUCCUCGCCGUCCUGUCUCAUCCGACUGCAAGCCGAAGCCUCUGUUGUAUUAAGCGUGGUGACAAAUUGGACGGAGGUCCUUGCUGCGGUCCUCAGUUGCUCGUUUUAAAACACGGCCAAAUCGGCGAACGAAGUUGAGAGCAGAGGAGCCUGCAAGCUGGAAAUAACUCUUGUGUGAAGUCUCAAAGAGUUAAUGUACAACCAAGGAAUUCCUCUAGCCACGUCCCACGGAAAAAGCAACUUAAGUCAUUUCAAGCUCUUCAGGUUCAGUCUGACGUCAGGGUGCAGCACAGCAAGGAUAAGGAACGAUGGUUUUUUUUUCCAUGGUCUUCACCUGCAUUUGAAUGGGCAGCCAGCAGCCCUUCCCAAGCGUGGCCUAGAUUUGUCAGGGCAAGACGUGGCCACCACGUAAUUUAAAUGGAGCAUUAGAUCUGUUACGCUGCUUUAAAAAAUGUGCAUAAAGCAGCCCCUGAGUCCUGUGCAAGAGGGAGCUCAGACCUGCAAGAGGAUGGAGAAUUACGGGUGCAAUUCCAGCCUCCCACCCCUGUGUGCUUCCCACUGUGCAGGCGUGCGCGUGCAUGGGGGGAGGAAAGCCACCGAGUCUUUCUGUCUCCUGAUGAUCAUCUUCAGACGCGGUUUCUGCCUGGCCACCCAGCCUCAGUCUGAAGCACUUGCUGGGAAGGUCUCCAGGGGAAGACACCCUGACAGGGGAUGGAUGAAGCUGGAAGAUGGGACGCUCCCUCCUGGGAUAGUGUUGGAGAAGCUGUGGGCAUUCACAGCCCUAUUCAGCGUAUGGGGGAAGGCUGCCCCUCGAGUCCCAGGGCAGCGCGACGGCCUGGGCUACCUUUCUUGGCAACUGUACGCAUUUGUGUAAGAUGCUUUGCAAAUCCCUUAUCUGAACCAGGAAUGCACAGACCGAAGGGGCCUGUCCUAAAAUUUUCCAGAACCCAAGCUGCAGUAUUACUCCACUUGCUUCUCACCCCAUAAAACAAUACCAGAAAAAGGCACCGACUGGCCCUUAAACACGAACACCAGCAGCAAUGCACGGAUACAAACUUAGGGCCUGAUGCAAAGCCCCUUUAAAGGAGGCUGCCUCAUCAGCUUCAAAGGGUUUUGCAUUGGGCCCCGAUAGUGAAAUCCUGGCCCCACUGCCGUUAAUGGCAAAACUCCCAAUGACUUCAAAGGGGCAGAAUUUCACUCUUACUCAACAACUGUGAAUGGCUGUUUUAAAACGCUCGCCCAUUGUACUACCUGUUUCUAUCAGCAGGGGAAAAAAACAAUUCCCUCUUUAUGGGGCCGUGCAGCAUGCCAAGUGAGAGAUCACUUUAGAGACUUAAAGAAGCAGAGGCUUUUUGCUAUUUAUGAGGGAAGAGUGCCCCAGGUAACUGAAUCUCGGAGAACCAGGAUCCCGCUAAUGUACGAGGAACCAUAAAGUGAAACGUUAGAAGUUGGCUAGCAGCAAACGCGAGGCAGACUCGUCUACCUUCGUUGUCUCCCAUGAACGAAGUGCAAAAAAAGGUAAAUAAACCAGAAGGGAAAUGUCUUUUCCACUCCGUUUUUUAAAACAUUUAAUCUCCCUCCAAUCUAUGCACUACCACGGCAUUUGGUGUCAUACUAGCAAAACGGGGAGAAUUUUUUUUUUUUUUUAAAGAAAUCCCUUUAAACUCAAUGGCAGCCUUGGCAAAGGAGGCUGAGGCCCUCUGACCUAACGAGAGCCCGAGAUAAGGGUUUCUUUUGAAAUUUCCAUCUAAAACCACCACCUGUGCGGUAGUAUCCUAUGGCCCAAAACAAACUCCACGUCUGCUGAAAUGGUGUCACUUCAGCAGGGCUGAUUUUUCCACUUGCAGAGCACUUCAAGAAUUAUCUCUGCAUUUUUUUUGUUGUUGUCAAGGGACAGUAGCAUCAAAUAUUUAGUGAUUAUAAACAGAGCAGAAUAAAAAAAAAAAAAAAGCAACUGCCUGAAACGAGAGCUCAGGAUCUGAUUUCUUCUAACCGGAUGCCUGCAAGAUGUCACUGAAUUCUCUCUCCGUGCAACCCGCGUGGAGCCAAUAUGAACUCCCAGCAAAGUGCUUAAAAACCCAUUAUUUAUAAUAACUGUUAAAUGAUGAGACAUUGUUUACCCAGAUCGCAAGAUAAAUUCUCACUUACAGAAUGCUUGUCUGACUGUCCUGAACAUCAUCUGGUUUUUAUUUAAAUGCAAAAUGUAAUUACUCUCAAUAACACAGCAGAAGAAUUCAAUAAGAUAUGGCUUUGCACUUAUGGUUUAAUAUUAACAUUUCCCCAUAAACGUUAAUGAAUAAAAGUCUACUGCUGUAUAUUUUACAUGCGAUUGAGAGGAAGGGAGGGAGGGAAAUAUUUUCAUAUCUGGAGCGCAACACUGAAUUCAAGGGGAGCUCGGGGUUUUCAGACCCUGGCUGAGACAGCACCUCCUGCCGGCAUCAGACUCAAAGCGUCACAUCCAGAAAAGACAGAUCCCAAGCGUUCAAGAAGUGGCAGGAGGUAGCACGAGGCUGAAUGACUGCGUCUGUAAGUAAGGCCUCUGUUGAGAGAAAUCACUCUGGUCUUUUCCUCAUGUCUGUUGUGCACCUAGUACCAUCAGCACUGGACCAUCUGCGGCCUGGACUACAGCAGCACUUACAGUCUGCUCCCACUGGUCUGGGUACGCCUGCGAUGGAUGCGGUCUCUUUGUGUGGCCCCUUUGAGACGUACCUCCAACAGCAGCCGCCCCGCAGUAGCCUGCCCACUUUCGGGGCACCCGUGCAAAGGGGUUGCCCCUUGGUGAGAGGGUUCUGGCAGCCGCUUUGCACGGUUUAAGCAAGAUCCAUAGAGCAGAGGAGCCCGCUCGCCCGAGCUUCGUGUCCUCAGGCAAAAGACUGCUAAGGGCGUGACUCUUCACUGCAUUACUGAACAGCAAUGAUGUUGGUGCAGCGGGUUCAACGGAUGCAGUGACGUACACUGAAGGUAGCACUGGGAUGAACUAGGCCCACGGCACUUAAGGAGCAUGUUCUUUGCUGAUCUCAAAUUGCUUUGCUAAAGGGGGAUUUGUCCCCAUUCUACAGCCGACAAAACCAAGGCGCACGUGCUUGCCUGACAGCAGAAAACAGGUCAGUGCCAGAGCUGGAAUCAGAAGGUCGGUCCCCUGACACCCCUCCCACGGUGCCACGAUGCUGCCAGCAGCACGUGCCAGCUAGUGGAUGGCAUACGCACACAUUGCUGCUGCUUAAAAAUUCAUGCUCAUGUGUGGGAGGGUCAGCCUCGGCCCGCAGGACUCGUGUGCCAGCUUUGCCUUCACCCCUCUAUCACACUGCCAACCAGAAUAGGAUUUGGCAUAUAAAACACCUGUAUACACUUCCAUCUGAUUCAGACACUGGAUGAUAGGGGCCAUUUACGCCUAUCUAGAAACAUAUAUUUCCCCUACCCCAUGCUGCGUCCUACAUGCAAACGCUUGCAAGAGGCUUCGAAAGAAUUGUGGGGAGCAGAGACGGGAAAAGUCCUCUUAGACAAAGCAGUCCAUUGCACGUGGCUAGCGCAGAAGUGGCCCCCAUCUCAUUUCCAGAGCUUUGGCUUUGGCUUGUAAAGGGAAGGUUUAAUAAAAUGAGAGCUUUUCAACCCAGGCAGCGCGAUUCAAAAAAAGAACUUAGAGGCCUACUAAAACCCGGCAGGUUUGGGGAACAUAGAAAUAGGCUUCAUUAAGUAGCAAAUGCCUUCCAAGGGCCUGAUGCAACAAAAAGGCCCUUGCAGGAUGAGACACAAGAGAGCACCUCUGUGCUCCUGUUCCCACUGAAAUCAAUGUCAAGAGCCCCAAGGAUGCGAAAAAGCUUGUUGCUUUAAAAGGUCCCCAGUGCACAUCAACACAGAUGAGCAAAGCCAAGCUAAAAGGCAGGCUGCUUACCAUCUCAGAUGAAAUGCUGGUGUCUUGUGGUAAGGAAAAUAAUUUACUUAAUCGCUUAAAAAAACCCCAACAACAACAAAUCUCUUAGGAGAAAGUCAAUUGUUUGCCUGCUAACUGCUCUGAGACAAAGCAACGGAAGGGAAAUGUCCAGUUCCAAUCAUUUCGUAACCUGAUUACAGCCCGCACAGAAGAGCUGAAACACUUGGAGAACAAUGAUUAAGAAAUUAAGCUUCAAAUUAAGUGUGCGCCCUAUAUGGGCCUGCUUCUUCCUAUGAUACUGGAAAGGACACGGCUGGGCUCGUUCCACGCGCGAGCUGGCGAUGCGAGCGUACAGCCCAGCGAUGAAUCAUCUCAGACAUUUCCCGACCCCCCCCGCCACCCCACCAUUUCUUUCUCCAAGAGGAAUGACAAAUCUAGAAAUGGCACUGCACUUUGUUUCAUGACGGUAUCGAUUUUCCUGCACAGGAAAAGUGCAUUUGUCCUCUCGGCCCGCAGGCUGGCAAGAAAGGGUUAACCAAAUGUUUAUCACAAGGCUGGCUUCAGAGUUGAAAGUAAUGUGAUCAGUAAUGAAUUUUGUGUUACAUUAGGUUGUAUAAAUGGACAGACAAGCGCAGACAACAAGUGGCCAGGAGUCGGGGCUAAUCUAAUGAUGUAAAAAUAGAGACAGCACCAAUUAUACUUGGGGCCAGCUCAGAGCUCCUGCAGGGACUGCAAAUGAAUAGGUACAAAUCAAAUUACUGACUAAUAGACGCACUACAAGAGAGGGCAGUCAAUGCUAAAUGCAUUAGGGCCUUGUGACCUCCCUGCUCUGAACAGCAGAAUCCUAAAUUUGACUUAAAAAAAAAAAAAUCAAAGAAACUCUUGUUCAGUUAAGAAGAGAGAUACAACAAUGUGACUUGUGAAAUGAUUUAAAACGUUCACAUUUCCCCCCACCUCGUCCCUUUGUUAGGAUAUUCUGUAUGGCUCGGGCAUUGCUUCAAACCUUUUUCCAAUCUGACCCAGGGUUUUUGCUUUGUCAAAACAUGGAGAAAUAGUCUUUGUGCAAAAGUUAAGACCUGAGAACAAUACAGUUAUG
Alligator sinensis (Chinese alligator) is the source of this 6983-nucleotide long non-coding RNA. RefSeq lists it as uncharacterized. NCBI's taxonomy places the organism in Eukaryota, Metazoa, Chordata, Crocodylia, Alligatoridae. The record is from RefSeq and is a predicted model, not a curated record. The transcript is spliced from 5 exons.